GACGAACGCUGGCGGCGUGCUUAACACAUGCAAGUCGAACGGAAAGGCCCAGCUUGCUGGGUGCUCGAGUGGCGAACGGGUGAGUAACACGUGGGUGAUCUGCCCCUAACUUCGGGAUAAGCUUGGGAAACUGGGUCUAAUACCGGAUAGGACAAUCGUUUAGUGUCGGUUGAGGAAAGUUUUUUCGGUUAGGGAUGAGCCCGCGGCCUAUCAGCUUGUUGGUGGGGUAAUGGCCUACCAAGGCGUCGACGGGUAGCCGGCCUGAGAGGGUGGACGGCCACAUUGGGACUGAGGUACGGCCCAGACUGCUACGGGGGGCAGCAGUGGGGAAUAUUGCACAAUGGGCGCAAGCCUGAUGCAGCGACGCCGCGUGGGGGAUGACGGCCUUCGGGUUGUAAACCUCUUUCGACAGGGACGAAGCUUUGGUGACGGUACCUGUAUAAGAAGCACCGGCUAACUACGUG
Molecule: ribosomal RNA, 464 nt
Filed under: uncultured bacterium
Lineage: Bacteria
Description: partial 16S ribosomal RNA
Rfam family: Bacterial small subunit ribosomal RNA
Source: RNAcentral